GACAGAGGGUGCAAACGUUGUUCGGAAUUACUGGGCGUAAAGCGUGUGUAGGCGGCUCUGCAAGUCGGAUGUGAAAGCCCUGGGCUCAACCCAGGAAGUGCACUCGAUACUGCAGAGCUUGAGUAUCGGAGAGGUUGGUGGAAUUCUCGGUGUAGAGGUGAAAUUCGUAGAUAUCGAGAGGAACACCGGUGGCGAAGGCGGCCUUCUGGACAGUAACUGACGCUGAGACGCGAAAGCGUGGGGAGCAAACAGG
RNAcentral lists this ribosomal RNA (253 nucleotides) under uncultured bacterium. RNAcentral's name for it is "partial 16S ribosomal RNA". It matches the Rfam family "Bacterial small subunit ribosomal RNA", at positions 524 to 776 of the family's 1533-position model. The record is from RNAcentral.